RNAcentral lists this ribosomal RNA (253 nucleotides) under uncultured bacterium. RNAcentral describes it as "partial 16S ribosomal RNA". It matches the Rfam family "Bacterial small subunit ribosomal RNA", at positions 524 to 776 of the family's 1533-position model. The record is from RNAcentral.
UACGAAGGGUGCUAGCGUUGUUCGGAAUUACUGGGCGUAAAGCGCGCGUAGGCGGCUUAACAAGUCAGGGGUGAAAUCCCACGGCUCAACCGUGGAAUUGCCUUUGAAACUGUUAAGCUUGAGUGUCGGAGGGGAUAGCGGAAUUGCUAAUGUAGAGGUGAAAUUCGUAGAUAUUAGCAGGAACACCGGUGGCGAAGGCGGCUAUCUGGACGACAACUGACGCUGAGGCGCGAAAGCGUGGGGAUCAAACAGG